Molecule: long non-coding RNA, 852 nt
Organism: Oncorhynchus tshawytscha (Chinook salmon)
Lineage: Eukaryota; Metazoa; Chordata; Actinopteri; Salmoniformes; Salmonidae
Source: Ensembl
GUAAAAAUAGACAACAUCAACAACAAAUUAUAAUAAUAAAAAAUAAAUAAAUGUCUCUUCACAGCAAGGUGUUAUUUCAUCUGGUUUAUCAACCUGGUUUUAUUGCCAGCUUGAGUUACCUGCGGUAGGUAGCCUAGUGGUUAGAGCUAGGUAGCCUAGUGGUUAGAGCAGGUAGCCUAGUGGUUAGAGCAGGUAGCCUAGUGGUUAGAGCAGGUAGCCUAGUGGUUAGAGCAGGUAGCCUAGUGGUUAGAGCCAGGUAGCCUAGUGGUUAGAGCCAGGUAGCCUAGUGGUUAGAGCCAGGUAGCCUAGUGGUUAGAGCCAGGUAGCCUAGUGGUUAGAGCAGGUAGCCUAGUGGUUAGAGCCAGGUAGCCUAGUGGUUAGAGCCAGGUAGCCUAGUGGUUAGAGCAGGUAGCCUAGUGGUUAGAGCAGGCAGCCUAGUGGUUAGAGCAGGUAGCCUAGUGGUUAGAGCAGGUAGCCUAGUGGUUAGAGCAGGUAGCCUAGUGGUUAGAGCAGGUAGCCUAGUAGUUAGAGCAGGUAGCCUAGUGGUUAGAGCAGGUAGCCUAGUGGUUAGAGGCAGGUAGCCUAGUGGUUAGAGCAGGUAGCCUAGUGGUUAGAGCAGGCAGCCUAGUGGUUAGAGCAGGUAGCCUAGUGGUUAGAGCAGGUAGCCUAGUGGUUAGAGCAGGUAGCCUAGUGGUUAGAGGCAGGUAGCCUAGUGGUUAGAGCAGGUAGCCUAGUGCUUAGAGGCAGGUAGCCUAGUGGUUAGAGCCAGGUAGCCUAGUGGUUAGAGCCAGGUAGCCUAGUUAGAGCAGGUAGCCUAGUGGUUAGAGCAGGUAGCCUAGUGGUUAGAGCAAG